RNAcentral lists this transfer RNA (83 nucleotides) under Blumeria graminis f. sp. tritici. It matches the Rfam family "tRNA". Rfam says of the family: Transfer RNA (tRNA) molecules are approximately 80 nucleotides in length. Their secondary structure includes four short double-helical elements and three loops (D, anti-codon, and T loops). The record is from Rfam by way of RNAcentral. Lineage: Eukaryota; Fungi; Ascomycota; Leotiomycetes; Helotiales; Erysiphaceae. RNAcentral also lists the same sequence under 1 other name.
UCCCUCGUGGCGCAAUUGGCUAGCGCGUUCGACUGUUACUAAGUUCCAUCGAGAGGUUGGUGGUUCGAGCCCACCCGAGGGAG